GACCAUUCCCGGAGCAGCAAGGCGGGUUUGUGGAGCAGCAGCGAGGAAAAGCGAGGGUCAUCCCGCUCCGAGCACAGUGCAGGGACCAGCACGAAGAACCUCAUGCCCAAAGAGUCCCGGGAGUCUAGGCUAGACACCUUCUGGGACUAGGGGUGCAUUGUGAGCCAGAAACCUCCCUGAGUGUGUGGGGGGGAAACAACCCAAACAACAGGAAGCAACAGAAACUGGAGAACUGCCACCACCUUUAGAAUUCCUAACACUCAGGCUCUGCCCGUGGGCUUGGCUGCAGGACAGCGACUUGACUCCAUGACUUGACUCCACCCCAGCUUCCACCUUGGCCGGGACUGCUCUACCCUGUGAGCCAAACACUUUAGGUGUAAGUAGGUACACUUUGUGAUGUCACUGACCUAGUGUACCCUUU
This 421-nucleotide long non-coding RNA is filed under the name Rattus norvegicus (Norway rat). RNAcentral describes it as "long non-coding RNA NONRATT019969". Lineage: Eukaryota; Metazoa; Chordata; Mammalia; Rodentia; Muridae. The record is from RNAcentral.